RNAcentral lists this ribosomal RNA (256 nucleotides) under uncultured bacterium. RNAcentral's name for it is "partial 16S ribosomal RNA". It matches the Rfam family "Bacterial small subunit ribosomal RNA", at positions 524 to 777 of the family's 1533-position model. The record is from RNAcentral.
UACGGAGGAUGCAAGCGUUAUCCGGAAUCAUUGGGCGUAAAGAGUCCGUAGGUGGCACUUCAAGUCGACUUUUCAAAGACCGAAGCUCAACUUCGGAAAGGGAGUGGAAACUGAAGAGCUAGAGUAUAGUAGGGGUAGAGGGAAUUCCUAGUGUAGCGGUGAAAUGCGUAGAGAUUAGGAAGAACACCAGUGGCGAAAGGCGCUCUACUGGGCAUAUACUGACACUGAGGGACGAAAGCUAGGGUAGCGAAAAGGG